RNAcentral lists this long non-coding RNA (220 nucleotides) under Carica papaya (papaya). Its description in RNAcentral is "long non-coding RNA (CPAP_LNC005548)". Lineage: Eukaryota; Viridiplantae; Streptophyta; Magnoliopsida; Brassicales; Caricaceae. The record is from RNAcentral.
UAACCAAUACUUGGCCUCUUCGAAGGAGAUGUCCUUGCAAAGGUAGAUGGGUUUAGUCUCUUAAACUUCUCAAUGUAGCUUGGGUCCAUCAUGGGUGGAACCGGGUCUCAUUAAAGAGGACUGGAUUAUGCUGGGGAGGGACCAGGUAGGCUUGUGGCGGCACUUGGUUGUAUGGUAGGGGAACCAAAUUAUAUUGUUGCAGUGUCGAAUGAUAUGGUAG